AGCUACUGAGCUUACCCAUUCGAAAAUGUAAAUCUUAUCUUCUUCAAGUGUAUCAUCGUAGUUCGGCCGUCCAGCUAAAGUCUCCAAUAAGACCACGCCAAAUGCAAAGACAUCAACUUUCUCAGUCAUAUGACCUCUCAUGGCAUACUCAGGUGCAAGAUAACCGCUGGACAAAGGAUACCCAAAAAUACCAUUAACAUAAAUAUGAUUGUAAACAUAAAGGUGGAACAGAUGGAAUGUACUUACAAUGUACCAGCAACUUUCGUGCUGACAUGCGUCUUCUUGUCAUCAUAAAGUUUGGCUAGCCCAAAAUCUGAGAUCUUAGGAUUGAGAUUGGCGUCAAGUAAGACAUUGCUGGCCUUGAUGUCCCUGUGCACGACACGGAUGCUGGACUCUUCAUGAAGAUAAGCCAGACCUCUUGCAAUGCCUAAGCAUAUGUCAAAACGUGCUGGCCAAUCUAUGUUC
Molecule: small RNA, 465 nt
Filed under: Oryza sativa Japonica Group (Japanese rice)
Lineage: Eukaryota; Viridiplantae; Streptophyta; Magnoliopsida; Poales; Poaceae
Description: sRNA Os04g0616350
Source: RNAcentral